AGUGAACGCUGGCGGCGUGGUUCAGACAUGCAAGUCGAGCGAGAAACCUCCUUCGGGAGGCGGACAGCGGCGAACGGGUGCGUAACACGUGAACAAUCUGCCCUUUAGUUCGGGAUAGCCCGUCGAAAGAUGGAUUAAUACCGAAUGUGGUCCCUCCUCGCAUGUGGAGGGCACUAAAGCUUGUAAUGGCGCUAAAGGAGGAGUUCGCGGCCUAUCAGCUUGUUGGUGAGGUAAAGGCUCACCAAGGCUAAGACGGGUAGCUGGUCUGAGAGGAUGAUCAGCCACACUGGGACUGAGAUACGGCCCAG
RNAcentral lists this ribosomal RNA (308 nucleotides) under uncultured bacterium. RNAcentral describes it as "bacterial SSU rRNA". It matches the Rfam family "Bacterial small subunit ribosomal RNA", at positions 29 to 334 of the family's 1533-position model. The record is from RNAcentral.